CUAGGGCGGGGGGGGGUUCGCCGCCGUUGGUCGUCAGCCAUGAGCGAGCUAGCCUAUUUUGUGGGGGGUUUUCGUUCGGUGGUAUGUCGGCCACAAGCCGCACUUAAUGAAAUACACGUAGGGGGUGUCGCGGAGGCUUGUCAGACAUGAGCGCGCCUGUUUGUGCAGGGACGACAGCUCUGAGGCCCGCCACACUAAAAAAAACACAAAAAGAGUAAGAAAAAGAAGAAAUCAAAGGAUAAAGACAGACACCAUGAGAGUGGAAGUUCUGACGGAGAUUCAGACAGAGCUGCGGAAAUGAAGAAGAAAAAGAAAAAGAAGAGCCAUCGGGACAGCGAUCCCGAACUGCACAGCCCAGUGCUCUGAGCCACAGAAACAGAAGCAGCGAGGAAAGGGAGAGCCGCAAGCGACACCACUCUGACAGAGACUUUGAACAUGACAAUGGCUUUCCACCGGAAAAACGUCGCUGCACAGACUACGCUGACGGCAGCGGUGGCCAUCUACUACCUUCCAAUCAUACCACACCGGCAAACUGUUCAAGUUACGGCCAUCUCAAUGGACAACCAGAUCCAUCAACCGAAUUUUAACAACAGCAGAGGAAUGACAUCAACUUUAUUGACGUGGUGCUUCUUCAUUAGGAAUAAAGUGUUUUAAAAUUUAAA
Non-coding RNA from Maylandia zebra (zebra mbuna), 662 nucleotides. NCBI's taxonomy places the organism in Eukaryota, Metazoa, Chordata, Actinopteri, Cichliformes, Cichlidae. The record is from RefSeq and is a predicted model, not a curated record.